CGCGCAAACUCACCCGACCACGGCAGGAGCGGGGGACCCACAGGUACAACCGCCUGUUCCGGUCUCCGGAACGGCUAGGGGUAAAGCUGCGUUUCGGCGCGGCCGGGCAUCUCCAGCCCGCACCCGACAGCUCACCUCGCAGGCGCCGGAGAGGAAUU
RNAcentral lists this small RNA (158 nucleotides) under Streptomyces regalis. RNAcentral's name for it is "c-di-AMP sequence". It matches the Rfam family "c-di-AMP riboswitch aptamer (ydaO/yuaA leader)". From Rfam's summary of the family: This family represents a conserved RNA structure found upstream of the ydaO and yuaA genes in Bacillus subtilis and related genes in other bacteria. The ydaO/yuaA element is thought to act as a genetic "off" switch for the ydaO and yuaA genes in its native state. The record is from Rfam by way of RNAcentral. Lineage: Bacteria; Bacillati; Actinomycetota; Actinomycetes; Kitasatosporales; Streptomycetaceae.